This is a long non-coding RNA of Astatotilapia calliptera (eastern happy), 1134 nucleotides long. NCBI's taxonomy places the organism in Eukaryota, Metazoa, Chordata, Actinopteri, Cichliformes, Cichlidae. The record is from Ensembl.
AGAAAACAGAGUCAAACGGAGUACAGCUAAACUCAGCAGAUAAUUUAGAGACUGUCGUCACGUCAAGAAACGAAAAACACAAGUAGACGUGUAAGAGGAGCCUGACUAGUUUUUGUACAGUCUUUUGGGGUUUAAAGUGCAUUUAAACAGGCUUAAAGUGUCAUCUGACCCAAAAAACCUGAGGGAAACUAUGAUAAUUAUAAUUGUCCUACGUAGCUCACACAGACAGUGGGAUUAUAUAUCAGUCUGCGGACUUUUUGAUGAAUUUUAAUUAGUUGUUUCAUUGUCUCACAACUAAACAAUGAAUCAUCUACAAAUCCACAACUGUACACCAGCUGGCAUUUCUUUGAAUUUCUUUUAUUUAUAAUUCUGGGAAACAAGAUGUUGUGAAUGCUUUGCUGCUGAUCUAAUUCAGUCUGCAAAACACUGUCUGAGUGCUGUUCUGUGAAUCAGAGUGAAACUAUGGUGUGCCUGACUGGGGGAGUGUUAGCACAGGAUGUAUAUUUCUUGGAAACAUCAAGUUGAGCAUACAGUAGGAGUCAUUUGCACCUCCAAAUUGUUUGAUUUUUGUUUUUAUUUUUUUUAACUUAGUUGGUUGCUCAAGUCUCCAAAUGUUGUACAUAUCUGGAGGUGUGACAUUCUCCUUUCUACUUUAUAAACAGUAGGGGAUUUUUUCUUCUUCUUGUAUUUUAUUUUUCACAAGAAGGAGGUAGACUUGUUAAUUUACAUUAAAGUGUUCUGCCUCUAACCAUUUCUAGAGCCCACAGCAAUGCUAUGACAUGCCAUUUCGUGUCUUCACCUUUUCAGCACAGUUAUUAAGUGACAAAGGAACUAACCGGCAUAUCAUUACCACAUAAUGAGGUUAAUAUGAUAAAGUCAUGCAUUUAACAACAUCCCCACAGACAGCUCUGUCUUUGUUGUACCUGUUAUUGAAAUACAAUCUCAUAAUUACAUAAUUGUGCAUUCCAAUGAGUAUUUUUCAUUUAUUUGUAGUCUGGAGAAAAGUUUUAAAGCGGCUACAAAAUUAAAAGAAAGAGAAAAUAACUAGAGGUCAUGCAGAGCUAAGCCCAAAAAUGUUAAUCUACAGAGACUGAAGCUUUAGAUAUAUUGCACAUAUGCUUGAGUGUCCUAAAG